AUGCUUGGGCUGCGUCACUGGGUCGUGACAGUGCCGGAGGACGAGGACGGCGAGGCCGGGUGCCGCGACACCGCGUUGGCCGCGGCCGGUGAAGGGGGCAAAGAAGGGCGGCUUCCCUGGCCCUGGCCGUGGCCGUGGCCCUGGGAGUUGGUGCGGUGGAAGCGGCACUUGAAGGACCCGCGCGUUGGUGGCCGGCGCGCAGACGCACUUGGAAGCGGGCCCGUGGCCCGCGCCGGACGGCACCGACGCCGACCCGGGCCACCUCCUCCGCGUAUUCUUGGAGCUGUGGCUGGCCGAUUUACAUGA
Molecule: ribosomal RNA, 306 nt
Filed under: Triticum aestivum (bread wheat)
Lineage: Eukaryota; Viridiplantae; Streptophyta; Magnoliopsida; Poales; Poaceae
Description: partial small subunit ribosomal RNA
Source: RNAcentral